RNAcentral lists this ribosomal RNA (497 nucleotides) under uncultured bacterium. Its description in RNAcentral is "partial 16S ribosomal RNA". It matches the Rfam family "Bacterial small subunit ribosomal RNA", at positions 28 to 507 of the family's 1533-position model. The record is from RNAcentral.
GAUGAACGCUGGCGGCGUGCCUAAUACAUGCAAGUCGAGCGAACGGACGAGAAGCUUGCUUCUCUGAUGUUAGCGGCGGACGGGUGAGUAACACGUGGAUAACCUACCUAUAAGACUGGGAUAACUUCGGGAAACCGUAGCUAAUACCGGAUAAUAUUUUGAACCGCAUGGUUCAAAAGUGAAAGACGGUCUUGCUGUCACUUAUAGAUGGAUCCGCGCUGCAUUAGCUAGUUGGUAAGGUAACGGCUUACCAAGGCAACGAUGCAUAGCCGACCUGAGAGGAUGAUCGGUCACACUGGAACUGAGACACGGUCCAGACUCCUACGGGAGGCAGCAGUAGGGAAUCUUCCGCAAUGGGCGAAAGCCUGACGGAGCAACGCCGCGUGAGUGAUGAAGGUCUUCGGAUCGUAAAACUCUGUUAUUAGGGAAGAACAUAUGUGUAAGUAACUGUGCACAUCUUGACGGUACCUAAUCAGAAAGCCACGGCUAACUACGUG